UCCCUACGGGGGGCAGCAGUCGGGAAUAUUGCGCAAUGGAGGAAACUCUGACGCAGUGACGCCGCGUAUAGGAAGAAGGUUUUCGGAUUGUAAACUAUUGUCGUUAGGGAAGAUAAAAGACUAUACCUAAGGAGGAAGCUCCGGCUAACUAUGUGCCAGCAGCCGCGGUAAUACAUAGGGGGCAAGCGUUAUCCGGAAUUAUUGGGUGUAAAGCGCUCGUAGGCGUUAUGUCAAGUCAAGGGUGAAAUCCCCGCGCUCACCGUGGGAACUGCCUUUGAAAUUGGCAAACUGGAGUGUGUGAGAGG
RNAcentral lists this ribosomal RNA (305 nucleotides) under uncultured bacterium. Its description in RNAcentral is "bacterial SSU rRNA". It matches the Rfam family "Bacterial small subunit ribosomal RNA", at positions 335 to 657 of the family's 1533-position model. The record is from RNAcentral.